Molecule: transfer RNA, 62 nt
Filed under: Dipodomys ordii (Ord's kangaroo rat)
Lineage: Eukaryota; Metazoa; Chordata; Mammalia; Rodentia; Heteromyidae
Rfam family: tRNA
About the family: Transfer RNA (tRNA) molecules are approximately 80 nucleotides in length.
Source: Rfam by way of RNAcentral
GGGAAGGUGGCUCAGUGGUAGAGUACUUGCCUUGCAAGCAUGAAGCCCUCAGUUCUAUUCCU